UGGGGAAUUUUGGACAAUGGGCGAAAGCCUGAUCCAGCAAUGCCGCGUGUGUGAAGAAGGCCUUCGGGUUGUAAAGCACUUUUGUCCGGAAAGAAAUCCUUGGCUCUAAUACAGUCGGGGGAUGACGGUACCGGAAGAAUAAGCACCGGCUAACUACGUGCCAGCAGCCGCGGUAAUACGUAGGGUGCAAGCGUUAAUCGGAAUUACUGGGCGUAAAGCGUGCGCAGGCGGUUUGCUAAGACCGAUGUGAAAUCCCCGGGCUCAACCUGGGAACUGCAUUGGUGACUGGCAGGCUAGAGUAUGGCAGAGGGGGGUAGAAUUCCACGUGUAGCAGUGAAAUGCGUAGAGAUGUGGAGGAAUACCGAUGGCGAAGGCAGCCUCCUGGGCCAAUACUGACGCUCAUGCACGAAAGCGUGGGGAGCAAACAGGAUUAGAUACCCUGGUAGUCCACGCCCUAAACGAUGUCAACUAGUUGUUGGGGAUUCAUUUCCUUAGUAACGUAGCUAACGCGUGAAGUUGACCGCCUGGGGAGUACGGUCGCAAGAUUAAAACUCAAAUGAAUUGACGGGGUCAUAGCUGUUUCCU
This 585-nucleotide ribosomal RNA is filed under the name uncultured bacterium. RNAcentral describes it as "partial 16S ribosomal RNA". It matches the Rfam family "Bacterial small subunit ribosomal RNA", at positions 355 to 1375 of the family's 1533-position model. The record is from RNAcentral.